UGAGUAACCUGCCCUUAACUCUGGGAUAAGCCUGGGAAACUGGGGCUAAUACCGGAUAUGACUCCNCAUCGCAUGGUGGGGGUGGAAG
This 88-nucleotide ribosomal RNA is filed under the name uncultured bacterium. RNAcentral describes it as "partial 16S ribosomal RNA". The record is from RNAcentral.